Molecule: ribosomal RNA, 437 nt
Filed under: uncultured bacterium
Lineage: Bacteria
Description: bacterial SSU rRNA
Rfam family: Bacterial small subunit ribosomal RNA
Source: RNAcentral
CGAGAACGACGCUGGCGGCAUGCCUAAUACAUGCAAGUCGAACGAGACCUUCGGGUCUAGUGGCGCACGGGUGCGUAACACGUGGGAAUUUGCCUCGGGGUAUGGAAUAACUCAGGGAAACUUGAGCUAAUACCAUAUAAUGUCUUCGGACCAAAGAUUUAUCGCCCUGAGAUAAGCCCGCGUAGGAUUAGCUAGUUGGUGAGGUAAAGGCUCACCAAGGCGACGAUCCUUAGCUGGUCUGAGAGGAUGAUCAGCCACACUGGGACUGAGACACGGCCCAGACUCCUACGGGAGGCAGCAGUGGGGGAAUAUUGGACAAUGGGCGAAAGCCUGGUCCAGCAAUGCCGCGUGAGUGAUGAAGGCCUUCGGGUUGUAAAGCUCUUUUACUCGGGACGAUAAUGACGGUACCGAGAGAAUAAGCCCCGGCUAACUCCGUG